RNAcentral lists this ribosomal RNA (527 nucleotides) under uncultured bacterium. RNAcentral describes it as "bacterial SSU rRNA". It matches the Rfam family "Bacterial small subunit ribosomal RNA", at positions 773 to 1306 of the family's 1533-position model. The record is from RNAcentral.
AGUGAAUAGAUACCCCGGUAGUCCACACCGUAAAUGAUGCUCGCUAGGUGUAUUUGGCUUUUAGCCGAAAGUGUGCCGUAAAGCUAACGCGUUAAGCGAGUCGCCUGAGUAGUAUAGUCGCAAGGCUGAAACUCAAAGGGGAUAGGCGGGGGAACACACAAGCAGAGGAUUGUCUCGAUUAAUUGGAUAAUAAGCCAAGAAUCUUACCCCGGUUUGACAUCCUUCAAAUUUUGCCGAAAGGUGAAAGUGCUCGGUUCGCCGAGAAUGAAGUGACAGGUGCUGCAUGGUCGUCGUCAGCUCGUGCCGCAAGGUGUCUGGUUAAGUCCAGGAACGAGCGCAACCCUCAUCGUUAGUUAGAAUGUCUAACGAGACUGCCUCGGUAACGAGGAGGAAGGAGAGGAUGACGUCAGAUCAUUAUGGCCCUUAUGCCGGGGGCGUCAGAGACAAUACAAUGGGUGGUACAGCGGGUAGCAAUGCAGCGAUGCGGAGCCAAUCCUUAAAACCAUCCUCAGUUCGGAUUGUAGUCU